Long non-coding RNA from Benincasa hispida (wax gourd), 558 nucleotides. RefSeq lists it as uncharacterized. The record is from RefSeq and is a predicted model, not a curated record. Lineage: Eukaryota; Viridiplantae; Streptophyta; Magnoliopsida; Cucurbitales; Cucurbitaceae.
UCAUUUAAGAGAAGACUUUGAAUUUGAAUGAAAUUUCAUUAGAGUUUAUUCUCUCAAGUUUUAUGUUUUUUCUUUGUAUUCUUGUAUUUAGAAUGCAUGUAUUAAAACUUUCAAUCUAGUUUAAUCAAUUAGAUCGUGGAGAGUUCAAAAUCUUGAAGUUAGGAAUAAGUUCUCCUUUCUUCUUGAUCAUUGAUUAAUCUUCCAAACCAAAUCUGUUUAACUUCUUGGAGUUGUUAUCAUUUUGUUUAUUAGGAGUUAUUCUCAUUAUCGUUGUGGGGUUCUCAUACGUGAUUGAGGUCUUGCACAAACCUAUUAAAGUGGUGAAGCUACCAAGCAAGUGAUUGACGUUUGGUUAGCGAUAAAACUUGUUGUAAUGUAGUUACUCGUGACAAUACCUUGUUAUAUUUAGUUUCUUUGUAAAAAAUUUAUCAAAUUUGGUUUUUAGUUUGUGUGUUUGUCCCAUGGAGGAUAUUUGAUAGUUCAUUUUAUUUAGUUUCUUUAUAAAAGGUUAUCAACUUUAUUCUUAUAUAUAAAAGUUCUUAUUUAUGUUUGUGUCAA